CCUCUGUUUUUCGAAAGCUUUGCCCCCUAUAUUGGGGGUGCCGGUUUGCCGGCUAUGGAAAUAAACGGUCGUCGCAAUAAACCAUUCGGACCCGGGGGCGGUACCCGGCGCCUCCACCAAAGCCCACUCGGUGGGACCACCCAGGGCAGCGGGCUUUGGCGGGGGCGAAAUAGGAUCGACGAGGGCGUAAAGGGCGUACUUUUUCCCGGUAUUGUUCCGCCGUUAUCGGGCUACUGCAAUAGUUGCCAACGACAACUUUGCUCCGGUUGCUCAGGCUGCGUAACGCAGUUUGAAAGACCACUCUAAAGUCCUAGCGGGUUAAGCUCCGCUAGGCGGGGUUCGGAGGCACCUGGCAACAGAAGCCUCCACU
Molecule: transfer-messenger RNA, 370 nt
Filed under: Bradyrhizobium cajani
Lineage: Bacteria; Pseudomonadati; Pseudomonadota; Alphaproteobacteria; Hyphomicrobiales; Nitrobacteraceae
Rfam family: Alphaproteobacteria transfer-messenger RNA
About the family: Bacterial tmRNA, also known as 10Sa RNA or SsrA, is named for its dual tRNA and mRNA-like properties. Its role is to liberate the mRNA from a stalled ribosome. To accomplish this part of the tmRNA is used as a reading frame that ends in a translation stop signal.
Source: RNAcentral